Molecule: transfer RNA, 73 nt
Filed under: Camelus bactrianus (Bactrian camel)
Lineage: Eukaryota; Metazoa; Chordata; Mammalia; Artiodactyla; Camelidae
Also listed under: 2 other names
Rfam family: tRNA
About the family: Transfer RNA (tRNA) molecules are approximately 80 nucleotides in length. Their secondary structure includes four short double-helical elements and three loops (D, anti-codon, and T loops). Further hydrogen bonds mediate the characteristic L-shaped molecular structure. tRNAs have two regions of fundamental functional importance: the anti-codon, which is responsible for specific mRNA codon recognition, and the 3' end, to which the tRNAs corresponding amino acid is attached (by aminoacyl-tRNA synthetases). tRNAs cope with the degeneracy of the genetic code in two manners: having more than one tRNA (with a specific anti-codon) for a particular amino acid; and 'wobble' base-pairing, i.e. permitting non-standard base-pairing at the 3rd anti-codon position.
Source: Rfam by way of RNAcentral
GAGAGUAUAGCUCAGUGUUAGAGCAUGUGCUUAGCAUGCACGAGGUCCUGGGUUCAAUCCCCCAGUACCUCCU